Molecule: ribosomal RNA, 403 nt
Filed under: uncultured bacterium
Lineage: Bacteria
Description: bacterial SSU rRNA
Rfam family: Bacterial small subunit ribosomal RNA
Source: RNAcentral
AGUCGGGAAUUUUGGGCAAUGGGCGAAAGCCUGACCCAGCAACGCCGCGUGAGGGAUGAAGUAUUUCGGUAUGUAAACCUCGAAAGAAUGGGAAGAAUAAAUGACGGUACCAUUUAUAAGCUCCGGCUAACUACGUGCCAGCAGCCGCGGUAAUACGUAGGGAGCAAGCGUUGUUCGGAUUUACUGGGCGUAAAGGGCGCGUAGGCGGCGCGGUAAGUCACUUGUGAAAUCUCUGAGCUUAACUCAGAACGGCCAAGUGAUACUGCUGUGCUUGAGUGCGGAAGAGGCGACCGGAAUUCUGGGUGUAGCGGUGAAAUGCGUAGAUAUCAAGAGGAACACCUGAGGCGAAGGCGGGUUGCUGGGCCGACACUGACGCUGAUGCGCGAAAGCCAGGGGAGCAAAC